This is a non-coding RNA of Phoenix dactylifera (date palm), 2778 nucleotides long. Lineage: Eukaryota; Viridiplantae; Streptophyta; Magnoliopsida; Arecales; Arecaceae. The record is from RefSeq and is a predicted model, not a curated record.
AUUAUUAUUAUGGCAGGGAUUAUUUAAGGAGGUUAAUUUUUCGGAAUUUACUGUUUUACCCCGAGGUAAAAGGAUGGGAUCGAAAUCGGAUCGAAUGGGCGGAGAGAAGCUUUUCUCUAUAAAACCCGAAGAAAAUCCCACAGGGAGAGAGAGGGGAGUGGAGAAAGAAGCUGAAGGCUGAAGGCGAAAGCAAGGUGGCUUGUUAUUAUAUUUUAUCUUCGUCGUCUUUCGACUUUCGUCGUUCUCUCGCUCGGUCGCGGCGAUCGCGCGCUCUCCGAUGGUGGUCUCCACCACCUGAGGUGGCUCCUGGCAGCCGGAUCAGCGUCUCCGGCGAGGUGCUCCGGCGGCGUCCGCCGGGGAAUGCUGGGAUCCGGGGGAUCGGGCUACGAUCUCCGGUGAUCGCCGCGGCCUGAUCUUGAUCCCUCGCCCGACGCUGGCAUCGGUACCUGGCGGCCAUAUCCGCGCCUCCGGCGAGGCCGAUCUCCUAUCGGGUGGUGUUUUCGCCGUCGCUCGUGGGGCGUGAUCUCUGAUCGGUAGAAGAUCGGUUUGAGCUGAGGAUAGACUAUAGAGAAAGAUCUGGAGAUCUGCUGGUUCUCUGCUGGUUUAGAUGAUGGGUACUGGUGAAUGGAUGGUAUGGUGAAAUGGAGGUGACAUUUUUGGGUACAUUUGCUUUCAUCCAGUGAUCAUUAUUAAGAAUUGCUGAAAUCGUGACUCCAGAUGUUCUUCUGAGUUCGGAAUUUCCCAACAUUAGGCACCACUUCUAUCUGCCUAUGCUGCAUCUGCUGCUUCGAUUAAGGAGUCUUGUCAUCACAAAUAAUUUGCUCUGCAAGGAUUGCUUUGGUAACCUUCUCAGGAGGGUGCAAAUGUCUGCAUUAUCUGUGUUUGAUGUUUAUACAAAAGUGAAGUACAAGAUGGGCAUGAGAUUAGGUAAGAAAUCAGGAACCGGCAGCUCAGAUGCACCAAUUAGUAGGUAUGAGAGGAUUAGUGUCGCAUCCCAGUUAUCAUCAGCAAGAAAGAUUCUAUUCUCUUGUGCUUUCAUAUAAGCAACAUAAUACUCCGAAUGUUUGGUUACUCCUGUCUCUUUUCUUAUUUCAUAUAUUUUCAAUCUUCAGGAUAAUGAGAAAUUCAUGGUCUGUUAAGCUCAUAUAAUUAGAGUCUUUAGAUAGUUUCAGCAAACAUGGAAAUAUUACUUGUAUUGAAAAUAGGUGCUCCUUUAAUUCCUCUCCAGUGAGCUGUGACAAGCCUUUAAUUCUGCUACUCCAAACCUCCUAUUCAUUUGGUACCUAACUACUAGUUGCUUCUAUUCCAUUCACAAAAAUAGUAGCCACUUCAGGUGUUUCUUUCAACUCCAACCCCAGGAACACCACCUUCUCUCAUAACAGUUGAUUUAGCAACUGCUGAACCUCACUGAACUCCAUUGACUCCUCCCCUGCCAUCUCCACCACCUCUGCAUCAUCCAAACAGACCUCCCCAUCUGCAUAUAUCGCUAUCCUCAUCGAUCACCAUCGGAAGCUUGAAUCCACUCUGCUGCGCCAAUUGCGACGUCGUAGCCUCUUCCUGCAUUACCAAGAUGUUCCCUAUCUCACAUGCACGUUUGUAGUAUCCUCCGGUGCAUCGAGUUGAAGAGGUUGAACCAUUUUCCUCAUGGAAAAUAAGCAUCAGACCACCCCUUGCUUCAGUACUGGGGAGGCCAUCACACCUUUUUCUGAUCUUUGUUUCAUCACACCCUUUAUUCAUCCAUGACAACCUUGGCUGUCUAUUUUGAAAGUAUAGCACCAAAACUUACUGAGCUAGCAUGUAUGAACCAAUGGAGAAUAUUAAGAUAGCGGCAGGUGUGUUACUCACUCUUGUUUUGGAUGUGAUUUUCUUACACUUUAUAGUUUUUGGUGCUAAGAUCUUACAUUUUGAUAUCUUCGCAAUUACAAUCAUAUUUGCAAUAUAGACUUCUUGAUUGGUAAGACAAAAUUAUUUGCUUAAAAGUUGGCAUUUGCAUCUCAAGUGCCCAUGACUAGUUGUACGUAAAGCUUCCCUCCCCAAAUAAUUCUAGUUUAUUUCUGCCAGUGUCCUAUGCCUCCUCAACGUAUUUAUGCUCAUUUACUUACUAAUAGCUUGACUUUGGGUAAAAGUAAUAGUACGACUCCAAGGACCUUCCUUCUCUUGAUACUCAUUUCAAUAGUUUCCGGACCAAGAAGAAGCAUAGAGUAUUUCUAGAAUCUUGCCAGGCUUACGGUUCAUUAAGAUGGCAGACAACAUUAAGUACAUAUUAUGAUCGUGAACUGGCACAUAAUAUGAAAAAAAAGUAUUAACAUUCGGCACACCGAACUGAUCAUGUAUCGGAUAUACCGAUAUUGCAAUAACAUAGUACCGAGACAAUGAAUCUUACUCAGGUAGAAAUAUUAAUUUUUGAUAGAGGCUAAUUCAAUACUCUUUCCAUCUAGAGAGAGAGAGAGAGAGAGAGAGAGAGAGAGAGCACCAUUUUGUCCACGUCAAUAACUUAAAAAGUUCAUGUUAGCAUGCUUUACUAGGCCUUCUCCAUAGAAAUGGAGUUAUUAUCCUGAAUACUAGUUACAAGCUUUCUAAAUUUGUUAGUUUUCUAAUAGAGCAAACAAAUACAAAACUAUUUUUUUUAUGAAAACAAUCUUUACAAGCAGUUUUGCUUGCAUCCAAACAUACCUGAAGAUUAACCUGCCCCGCAUCCAAAGCGACCCAUGGCCAUAAUAGAGCAUAUCAAAAAGAGCUCAUAAAACAUGCAGCCAUGGGGAUAAAAGGAUAAAAAUG